Symphalangus syndactylus (siamang) is the source of this 3683-nucleotide long non-coding RNA. RefSeq lists it as uncharacterized. The record is from RefSeq and is a predicted model, not a curated record. Lineage: Eukaryota; Metazoa; Chordata; Mammalia; Primates; Hylobatidae.
CCUAACUUUUGAGUGGAAAACGAACCAGGAAUCUGAGAUAACUGGAUAGUCUCCGCAUAUUUUUAAAAAAUCAGCAUGUUUCCUGAAACUGCUCAGACUUAGCUGAUUUUCGUUGUUGUUGUUCUCUUUGUAAGUUUUUUUUUCUUCUUUUUUCUCUGUGUUCCAGCCUCCUGGAAUUUAAUCUAUUGGGUGGGAGUAAAUGACAUAAACUGUACUCAUAUUUGCAAAAAACCCAAAAAAGAUGUUAAGGCUAUUAACAACAGACUUCUGCACUACAGUUGAAAUGGGCUAGGUGAAUUGGGACAGAAUUCUAUGAACAUUUUAUGAAGCUUUCCUUAAAUUUCUAAUUGAAAAUUGCUACUGUGUGUGUUACUGUUGAUUCAUUUCAUUUAAGUCUUGGUCCUGGAGAUUCUAUUGAUACCCCAUUCUUGGGGAUGAAAAAUGUUAAAUGCGCACAUUUUUUAGGAAAAUGGGCUGGGUGGGAGAUGGAAGGCUUUGGCUGCCAUCCUAGGGUAUUCCUGUGCGUUGCGAUGGUCAGCAUUUCUGUAUCUAAACAUUGAGAAAGUACAAUAAAAAUACUGGGACCACUAGCAUACACGCAGUCUUUCUUGACCAAAACAUCCUUAUGCCGCGCGUGGCUGUGCUGAGAAGGAGGAGCACUCGUCCUCUCCAAGCACAUCCAAUUUGCCUCAGUCCUCAUGACUCUUACCCUGUUCCCACAACUGAGCUCAUUUGUUAUUGAAGUUGCUUUUCUUAUACCCAGCCCAGUUUUCCAUUGAUGCUCCCGCUUAUUCUAUGUAGGUAUUUUUAUUUAUCAUACGAUAUCCCUAGUCUAAGAUUUCAUUUGAGGAAAAAAAAAAAAACGUCUGCUGCUAAAAAUAAUUUGAAAACUCGUAGACAAGAGGACCUUUCAAAUCCCUUACAAUUCUAACAACCAGUGAAUUCAUGCUUCACAGCCAUUCAGAUCUAUAUGUAUGAAAUACAAGACAUAUGUGUUCAACUUUCCUGCAUCGCCUCCUUUAAACUUUCUUUUUUCUUUUUUGAGUCAAUCCCUGCAGGAACAGACAAAGUGAGCCCAUUAAGAGAACAGUUCACUCCCACCUGCCACCUCGAGCCAGCCAACAAUCUCAGCCUCACCACUCCAUUCUUGAUUAUGUAGAACCAUUCCAAUCCUGAGUGACAGGAUUUGCAAAGACAGCUGUUGGGCUCCACAAACAUUUGGAGGAGGGGAAAAUGUGAGGUUGGUUGCUACAUUCUCCUACUUCUUUUUACUGAAAGGAACAGCUGCGAUCUUCACAUGUAAGAUGAAGUAAACAAAAGCUGACAAUGCCCAGCACCAUUCAGCAGUAAGCAUUCAAAUAGAUUUUUCCUCACCGCGUUUGCAGGCCCGGCACAGUCUCAGUUCCCCACAGCACAGAGAGGAAGCAAGGUCUUUGCAUGCAUGCCCUGUUCACUUGGCCAAACAUUGCCCUAGAUGUGCAAUUCAAGCCGUAUAAAGCCAGCAUAAUUCAAGAGCCCUGACUCUUUCACUAUUUCAUGAUUGCUUAUUACUCGCACACGGCAUUGUCAGGUUCCAGCAACUCUGUGUGCAGCAGGCAGAAAUGCAGUGUUUAUCUCGGACAGGCAAACAUUCUUAGGCUCAUCGGCAUAAGUAUCCACGCUGAACUGGCUAUCGGGAAGUAGAUCCCUGCAUGGGAAAGUCAAGGGCCAUCUGCCCAUCUGAAACUGUCUUUGGCUGCACGGUUGUGAAUCCAGGUGACAGUGAAAAUGAAGAAGUGGUGAUUGUCCCUGCAUGUUUUCUCUGAAGGGUUAACAAAAAAAAUAAAAGCCUUUGUGUCUGUUUCGAGUUCUCCAGUUGAAAUACUGUACUCAUUGAACUGCAAGAAAUAAAACCUGCAAGUAGGCACUGUGCUAAUGUAAUAGAAAUGUGUUAGACAGGGGCACUAUUUCUUAAAUAUGCUUGAAUUAAGCAAGUUCUUUUAAAAAGUGGGUGGGACUUUUGAUGUUUUACAUAGUUAUAUUUUCAAUUUCUUGUGCUCAGUUUAAAACUCAAGAUUCUUUGUUUCCAUGUGUGUCAUUAGGGCAGGUGUUGGAUGACAAGUGAAUGCAUUGAAAAAUGAAAAAAAAGAAUUAUUUGUGCCCUGACCUCCAUGAAUUCGGUGACUUAAUAUAUCCAUACAGAUCUGACUUUUAAUCAUAGGUGCUCACAGGUGGGGUAAGGGAUAAAGAAGGAAUUUGUCUACAGGAUCCUUUUAUCCUAAGAUGUCUUACAACAUCCAAUUGUGUUACCGUUUCUUUUUGUUUGUUUUUUUUUUUACAAACCCAUUGCUAGGCUAAGAAGUAUUGAUUCUAUCUAGUUAAACAUGUCGAGUGAGGGGAAGUGAUCAAUGGAUUACUUCUUCAAAACAUUUAUCCCCCCCCAGUGGAAUCCUCUGAUUUUUAUAACCUUAAAGAGCCAGGUACAGGAGUUGGGAGAAGAAUUUAAAAUUUGAAAUGUCUUCUUUUUUUCAACUCGGUUAAUGAAAACUCUAGUUAAUGCCUGUGAUUUUCUGGGUCUCCUUCUCUACUUCCCGCCAUUAUCACCACCUUUUGUUGCUGCUGGGGCUGUGGGUACCCAGAAGGAACAUGAGAUGGCCUUCCUCAGAUAUCUGGGUUUAAAUUCAGUUCGUAUCUCUUACAUGAAGUGGGUAGGGCCAAAAAUGACUCACUGCCCAGUGGUGCCUGGAAACAUUAUCAGCAAAGGCAUUCACCUAAGGACAAAAUAAACACAGAAUUCUCAUAUGGGCCCAUCUUUCCAACCAUCUCCUGGACUCUGGUAGUCUUUUCUGAGCCAGAUAUCUCUCUAAAGUCACUUGCUGUCAGACCUUUUUGUCUCAUAUUUAGGAAUGGCUGAAGUUCUUUAUAAAUCCCAGAUGAAACAGGAGGAAAACUACUUUGAAAUGAUCAUUUCCAUGAUCUCUAAAAUUCAACAAACAGUAUUUCUUAAGGUUAACAGAUGCGAGCCUAUGACAGGUUCAAUGUGGGACCAACUCAAGGGAAAUUGAUGACCGAAGUAUUAAAAAGCAUUCAUUACAACGCAGGUUCACCUGAAGAGGGGGUGUCCCCCAGUAGUGCUUCUGCAGCAGAAUUUCUUAGAAAUGGCAGAACAUCCACAAGUCAUGUACCCCAGGCCAUUGUGUCUGUCUUUCAAAUAGAGGAAUGGCUGGUGGCCAUUUGCUGAGGGCAUCUCCUGCACUGAGAACUGUGUGCAUAUAUGGAUGGUAUUGCUGAGACUCACAAGUAUGCAAGAUAGAAGCUAGGUGCAUUUUUUUCAGAUUAGGAAUCUGAGAAUGGAAGAUAGACUGAGAAGGGGAGCAAGGGGAGAUAGGGAGAGACUGGGCAACGGGUACGAAGUUACAGUUAAAUAGGAAUAAACCAUGGUGCUCUAUUGCACAGUAGGGUGCCUGUGGUUGACAACAUUGCAUUGUCUAUUUCAAAAUAGCUAGAAGAAAGGGUUUUGAAUGUUCUCACCACAAGGAUAUGAUAAAUGUAUCAGGUAAUGGAUAUGCUAAAUACUCUGGUUUGAUUAUUACAUACGGUAUGCCAGUUUCAAAGCAUCACGUUGUACCCCAUAAAUAUGUACAACUAUCAUGUGUCAAUUCAAAAUAAAAUAAAAUAAAUUUUAUUGAUAAAAGAAUAAAAAA